Theobroma cacao (cacao) is the source of this 410-nucleotide non-coding RNA. The record is from RefSeq and is a predicted model, not a curated record. Lineage: Eukaryota; Viridiplantae; Streptophyta; Magnoliopsida; Malvales; Malvaceae.
GGAAAAGUGUGAAAAUUCAAGGAAACAAGUGAAAAAAGGUGGUGAAUCCUCCGAUAAAGGAAAAGAAAUUGUACCCGAGGAUCGAUAGUCUACGUACUCUAAAAAUUCGACUCCCGAAAUAGGGAAAUGAGAAACUGAUAUUAAAGCCUUGCGGGGUUUCGGUUAGCAUUCCGAGUAAUGAGUCUCUAUCGGGACACUGCGGUGGUUGUCAUGGGCUCAAAGGGAGUACCGGGUCGUGAUAACGAUAACUAGUUAUCUUGAAUUUUUAUCUUUUGGUGCAAAGGGUAUUUGUUUAGAUUCAUGCUAAAAUCUUUUGUUAAAUAUCAUUAUUAAGAUGUUAUUUCCACAAUUUUGAGCACUAUAUCUUUUCUUUUGAAUAAUGAUGAAUAUCUAGAGAAGGUUUAUAUUGA